RNAcentral lists this long non-coding RNA (1475 nucleotides) under Equus caballus (horse). Its description in RNAcentral is "lncRNA (ENSECAG00000056124.1)". The record is from RNAcentral. Lineage: Eukaryota; Metazoa; Chordata; Mammalia; Perissodactyla; Equidae.
CAUGCCAAGCCAAGGAGUUUGGAGUUUAAUCUGAAAUAUGUGGGGAAUCAUUAGGGAAGCAAGCAUGGAGAUGACGUGAUUAUGUUGUAGAACAGCACUAUGCAAUAGAACCUUAUGCAAUAAUGGAAAUGUUCUCUAUCUGCACUGCUGAGUAGGUAACCAUAAGCCACAGGGGCUAUUGAGUACUUAAAAUGUGUGGCUUGAGUGACUGAGAAAUUGAAUUUUAAAUUUUAUUUAAUUUUAAUUUAAACUUGAAUAGCUCCAUGUGACUAGUGGCUACUAUUGGACAACACCGUUCUAGAAAGAUCAUUUGGAGAAUGGAUUGAAGGUGAUUUGGAGAUUAUGGACAAGGCCAGGAAUGAUGUCUUAUUCCUUUCUCCAUUCCAACCUGCCACAGUGCUUGACAAGUUAUAGAUACUCAAAAUGUAUUUUUGGGGGGCUGGCCCUGUGGCCAAGUGGUUGAGUUUGCGUGCUCUGCUUCAGUGGCCAGGGGUUUCGCCAGCUCGGGUCCCGGGCGCAGACAUGGCACCGCUCAUCAAGACAUGCUGAGGCGGCAUCCCACAUGCCACAACUAGAAGGACCCACAACUGAAAAAACAUACAACUGUGUACCAGGAGCCUUUGGGGAAAAAAAAGCAAAAAUAAAAUCUUUAAAGGCUUUAAAAAAAGAAGGUAUUUUUGUAACCAAAUGUGAUGAAGAUGAUGGUGACGAUGAUGGGGUAGGAGGAUGAUUUCACUCCUUCCAAGAGAAAUAAAGAGCUUUUCCAGCUUUAAGAACUAGCCUUCAGUUUAGAAUAGUAUAUUAGUCAAGGUAAUCAACAAAGGCCACUGUUAAAUACAAUUUCCAAAUAUAAGUGCUAUAACCCGAAACAAGGCUAUUACUUACUUAUGAACCUCUGGUGUAGGUCGAGGCUCCUUCCCUCAUGUGGCUCUUUCAUCUUAGAGUCUUUGCUUCCGGCUAUUUAGAUGGGAGAAAAUGUAAAGAAGAUAUACCAGGUUUUAAUCCAGUUGGCCUCGAAGUAGUAGUCAUCACUUCUGCUCAUAUUCCUUUGGCCAGAGCUGAGGAGCACAGGGCCCAUCUAACUACAGCGUGGCCUGGGAGAUGUAAUCUUCCCAUGUGUCCAAGAAGAGACUCCAAAAUGGUGAACAUUAAAAGUUUCUGGCCAUUCUCUGCCCUUCUGGAUGCCGAGUAUCAAUUUUACUCUUCCUCUCACUCAUGGAGCACACUCACCUCAUUUUAAGGAAGACAAUGCAAGGUCCCCUCCAAUCACCACCUCCAGAUCAAUGUCCAGAAUACCCAGGUGAUGCGCCAUCUUCUCCAUUAGUCUAACAUUAAAAGGCCAAGUUAUCUGCACCCUACUUCCCCACCAUCACAACCCAUUUAUAAUGGCAGAAAAGGGGCAGGAAAAUAACGCCAUUUGAAAAGAGAAAUAAUAGACAAUAUGCAGCAUCACAGCCCACAGCCAAGCUGAGACU